RNAcentral lists this ribosomal RNA (576 nucleotides) under Triticum aestivum (bread wheat). Its description in RNAcentral is "partial small subunit ribosomal RNA". The record is from RNAcentral. Lineage: Eukaryota; Viridiplantae; Streptophyta; Magnoliopsida; Poales; Poaceae.
AUGAAUGUCGCACUCAUGCUGAGAUAGGUGUGGAGGAUCAUGCGAGGCGAUGGGGGCUUGUGGCUUCAAAUCAUCCAAGCAAAAUACCUAAGGGGAGAACCCCUGCUGGCAUGCUCCCGCUCUGGAGGAUCCCAGUUCUGGCGAUCCAUCCAAAGGAUCAAGGAGGACAUUCGUGUAGGAAUCUCCUUCUCUAUAGGUAAUGGGAAUGGGACCCAAUUCUGGCUGGACCCAUGGAUGGGUACCGAGCCCCUCAGGAUUGGAUUCCCUGUCCUGUUCUCAAUCUGCGUGGGCAUGUUACUCCUCGUCUCCGCGGCUGCACGCUUUGGGCACUGGGAUAUACGGUUUCGUCGAACGUUUGGGCAGACGGAGAAUAUCGAGUGGUCUAGGCUACGUGCAGCCCUACCGCUGGUAUUGUCAGAUCAUUCAGACACCGUGUCCUGGCGGCUAUCACCGUCGGGAGAGUUCUCCGUCAACUCCACAGGCAUUAUGUCGGUCCCCCACCAUUCCUUGGAUUUCUCCCUUGUGGAAGGCCCCUUUGCCCUUGAAGAUCAAGAUCUUUGUUUGGCAACUCCUUAG